Molecule: transfer RNA, 72 nt
Filed under: Brevundimonas sp. 12-68-7
Lineage: Bacteria; Pseudomonadati; Pseudomonadota; Alphaproteobacteria; Caulobacterales; Caulobacteraceae
Description: tRNA-Val
Rfam family: tRNA
About the family: Transfer RNA (tRNA) molecules are approximately 80 nucleotides in length. Their secondary structure includes four short double-helical elements and three loops (D, anti-codon, and T loops).
Source: RNAcentral
GGACGCGUAGCUCAGCGGGAGAGCACUACGUUGACAUCGUAGGGGUCACAGGUUCAAUCCCUGUCACGUCCA